RNAcentral lists this long non-coding RNA (670 nucleotides) under Elaeis guineensis (African oil palm). RNAcentral describes it as "long non-coding RNA (EGUI_LNC017618)". The record is from RNAcentral. Lineage: Eukaryota; Viridiplantae; Streptophyta; Magnoliopsida; Arecales; Arecaceae.
AGAGAGCCUUUGGGUCCUGUUUGACUUUUCAUUGUUUGCUCUAAUAUGAGCUUUGGCCUUGGUUUGGGCUUUUUUCUUUGGAUUAGAUUAAUUCUGGACUUUGGAUCAUCUAGGAUCUGACUUCGGAUUGGUCUUGAUUUUGACUUCGGCCUCAGCCUCAAUUUUGGUACUUAUAGGCCUGCUGUUUUUUCCAAAAGGAAAGAAUGAAGUAAAAGGUGAGGGCUUAAGAACCUCUUAUCAAGAAAAUUUUGUGCAAGUCUUUUGAAGCUUACUUCCUCUUUCGAUCUGAUUGCAUGCCCCAUGUUUAUUGGGCACAAUCGGGAGUGUUUGGGGGGAUGUUUUACCGAUCCAUUUGAUUUAUGGCUACGAUCGACUCAUUUGAUGUGCGGUCGCAGUCAAGUUCGGCACUAGUCAUGAAUUCAUGGAUCGUCUUUGUGACGUCUUUUGGAAAGCCUUCCCUAUUCUGGUGAAAAAGAGGGAAGAGCAUUUAUGUCAAACAACUAGCAUGAUGUGUAUGGGUCCCAUCAUGAAAACAUGAGAACAAAAGGGAUAGCAUUGGGAUCGGUUUGAAACCCUCUACACAUCUCUCUCUUUUUCUAUUGGUCUCCGAUAGGCCUUUACUUUUUUUCUCUUUCUUCUCUUCUUUUAAUGUAUAUUUGGAAAAGGGAGA